CUACGGGCUGCUCCAGUGGGGAAUCUUAGACAAUGGGCGCAAGCCUGAUCUAGCCAUGCCGCGUGAGUGACGAAGGCCUUAGGGUCGUAAAGCUCUUUCGCUGGGGAAGAUAAUGACGGUACCCAGUAAAGAAACCCCGGCUAACUCCGUGCCAGCAGCCGCGGUAAUACGGAGGGGGUUAGCGUUGUUCGGAAUUACUGGGCGUAAAGCGCGCGUAGGCGGAUCAGAAAGUUGGGGGUGAAAUCCCGGGGCUCAACCCCGGAACUGCCUUCCAAAACCCUGGUCUUGAGUUCGAGAGAGGUGAGUGGAAUUCCGAGUGUAGAGGUGAAAUUCGUAGAUAUUCGGAGGAACACCAGUGGCGAAGGCGGCUCACUGGCUCGAUACUGACGCUGAGGUGCGAAAGCGUGGGGAGCAAACAGGAUUAGAUACCCUAGUAGUC
This 439-nucleotide ribosomal RNA is filed under the name uncultured bacterium. RNAcentral's name for it is "partial 16S ribosomal RNA". It matches the Rfam family "Bacterial small subunit ribosomal RNA", at positions 339 to 795 of the family's 1533-position model. The record is from RNAcentral.